Amblyraja radiata (thorny skate) is the source of this 355-nucleotide long non-coding RNA. RefSeq lists it as uncharacterized. The transcript has 5 exons. Lineage: Eukaryota; Metazoa; Chordata; Chondrichthyes; Rajiformes; Rajidae. The record is from RefSeq and is a predicted model, not a curated record.
GAUGGCUGACCAGGAUUCCAGAACAAGCCGUCCCGGGGAUUGUCAGGCGGACCCUUCAGAAAGCGUGAAGUUGAGGCUGGUGAACGGGGGCAGUCCAUGCGCCGGGAGAGUGGAGGUUCACUACAAGGGGAACUGGGGGACUGUGUAUGGUAGCGGCUGGGACCUGCAGGACGCGGUGGUGGUGUGUCGGGAGCUGGGCUGCGGCGCCGCAGUGAAAGCACCGCGCGCAGCUCACUUUGGACCGGGGUCCGGACCCGUUGUGACGUCAUAUGUUGAGUGCAGCGGGAGCGAGGCCGCUCUGCGGGAGUGUAAAUCAGGGCCAUGGGAGGACAUUGGCUAUCCACACUCCAACGAU